UGAUACCACACGGGAGAGACCCCUCCACGGGGCGCCGACGGGGCAACACUCCCCAGUAACCUCUCAGGCAAAAGGACCGUGUGGAGAGG
This 89-nucleotide non-coding RNA is filed under the name Marinactinospora thermotolerans. Its description in RNAcentral is "Glycine sequence". It matches the Rfam family "Glycine riboswitch aptamer". From Rfam's summary of the family: This family represents the bacterial glycine riboswitch. Glycine riboswitches usually consist of two metabolite-binding aptamers domains with similar structures in tandem. Lineage: Bacteria; Bacillati; Actinomycetota; Actinomycetes; Streptosporangiales; Nocardiopsidaceae. RNAcentral also lists the same sequence under 1 other name. The record is from RNAcentral.